UCCUAUUAAAGGUGGUAUUAGAUUGUCCUUUAUUAAUAUCUCAAUCCAUUUUAUUUAUUGGUCACAUAAUCCAAAUUUUCAAUUUAAUCUAUCAUACAUUUUUUCUAUGUCAAGUUUAAUGAUCAUAUUACCUCUCAAUAUUUUAUGGUUUAUCGAUUGUGUCAUCUCUUGUACUAGGGCUAUGUUUUCCUAUCUUACUCUCAUUUUCACAAAAGCUUGUUUCUCAUAUAUGAUUAUUGGAAGGAUGUCUCGACAUUCUACUAUUCAUUAGUUUGAAGAUUAUCUUAUACCUUACAUUGUAG
This 302-nucleotide long non-coding RNA is filed under the name Spirodela polyrhiza (greater duckweed). RNAcentral describes it as "long non-coding RNA (SPOL_LNC001950)". Lineage: Eukaryota; Viridiplantae; Streptophyta; Magnoliopsida; Alismatales; Araceae. The record is from RNAcentral.